This 437-nucleotide long non-coding RNA is filed under the name Vitis vinifera (wine grape). RNAcentral's name for it is "long non-coding RNA (VVIN_LNC007387)". The record is from RNAcentral. Lineage: Eukaryota; Viridiplantae; Streptophyta; Magnoliopsida; Vitales; Vitaceae.
UACAUCCAAAGAAGAUAGAAAAACUACAAAUGAAGUAGAACUUCCAGGUUGCAGAAUGGUUUUCAAACUCUGAAGUUUUUUUAGAGGUUGGGCUAUGAAGGAUGGGGUAUGGAUCAAUCCAAUUUCCAAAGUAUCUAAAUUGUUGGCACAAAAGUGUUUUGUUUGUUUAUUAAAAGAAUGUGGAGGUAUUAUAUGUUUUCUUAUAUUAAAUCAUUAAAUUUCUUUUUGUACUCCAAUUUUCUUUGAAUUUUUUAAGUAGGUACUAUAUUUUUAUUAGCUUUUUGAAGUGUUCUUGAAAUUUUCCUUUUUAAAAACAUCAAACAAUUAAGCUUCCUACUUUGAAUUCAAGAAGAUAAAACUGCCUAAGAGUGAAUGUUUUUUUCUUAGCCAAAUAAUUGAUUUCUGAAGAGAGAAUCAAGUCGUUAUUACAAAAAAAA